This is a long non-coding RNA of Piliocolobus tephrosceles (Ugandan red Colobus), 3481 nucleotides long. Lineage: Eukaryota; Metazoa; Chordata; Mammalia; Primates; Cercopithecidae. The record is from Ensembl.
AAUUAAAUAAAAUAUAAAUAAUAAAAAUGCCUAUUAUAGGACAGAAUAAAUAUAGAGAUGAUAGAAACACAUAUGUAGAUGGUUUGUAUAUUUAAAAUAAACAGAACAUAUAAAUAAUCUGCAUAGAAUAAAAAAAAAAAAAAAAAAAAUAGACAUAGUAGGAUAAUUCUGCCAAUUAGUGUUUUUUUAAAAAAAAACAAAAUAAAACAACAUAUUAUACAAAUAAAACUGAAUUAUAUGUUAAAAUAAGACAUAUAUAUAUGCACUACAUACAUACAUAAUAACCGCUCUUUACACUCUUGUUUUUAUUUCAUUUUUUAGGUGAAAAGAAUUAUAAAAGAAAAUCAAUUGAUGAGCCAGAUGAUUAUGAUUUAGAAGAAUUAAUUUAUUUAAACAAUGUAAGAAAUAAUUUACAGACUAAUAAUAAUGAAAACGUAUAUGUUGAUGUUGAAUUAGGUUCAACGCGUAUCAAUGCCAUCGGAAUAAAUCUAGAAAAUAAUAGCAACACAAAAAAACAUGAAACUAAAGAAUCACAUAAUAUUAAAAAUGAACUUACAAUAGAAUCCCCUUUAAAUGAAAAAGUAAGUAUCUUGUCAGUAUGUUAGAAUAUUAUAACUGUUCUUAUAAUUUGCUCCAUUUUUUUUUUUUUUUUUUUUGUAUUUUGUAAAAAUAUUGUUUUUAUAUUUUAUAACAUUCUAUAUGUCCACUACACAUAUAUACAUAUAUGUAAAUUUUUGCACAUUUUUACAGCAAAGGUAUCAAUUAACGUUAAUAAAAAAUGGUAAUCCGUCUUGCCCCAAACGGCUAAAUAUAUUAGAAAAUAACAGUAAUGCAGAAGUUAAACUAAAACAUACCCCUAACUAUGAACAGAGAGUGUGCGAACCUACUCAUACACUUAAUUAUGAUCAAAGAGUGUUCAAACCUACACAUACACUUAACCGUGAUGAAAGAGUGUGUGGAUAUACACAUACACUUAACCAUGAUGAGAAAGUAAGUGGAUUUACAUAUAUACCAGUUCAAGAACAAAAAUCGUGCGAACAAGAAUGUACUAAAAAUAAAAUAGAUGCAAGUUCCAUCAAAGAAAAUGCAAAUGAACUAAGUAACAUUCAAAAAUUGGACAUAACGAAACCAAAUUUAUUAAUAAAACUAAGAAAUGAGAAUGAUGACAAAAAGAUAAACGAAAAAGAUGAUUAUAAAUUAAUUGAUCCGAAAUUAUUUAAUGUAAAUAAAAAAAAUAAUGUCCUAAAUGACAUUUUGACAAAAUCUGAAAAUUUUCUCACGAACAAAAAUAUAAUAAGCGAGGAAUAUAUUGAAUUAAAAAAUAAUGGUCAAAAUAAUAAACAAAAAAAUAGUUUAAAUUAUGAAGAAAAACCAAAAAAAAAAACUAUUGAAAGUGAGAGUUAUUAUAACAAUGAUACUAAAAAAUCAACAUCAACAAAUAGAAACAACAUGUAUAUUCAAAAUAAAGAAGUAGAAUCAUAUAAUAAUAAGAAUAAACAAAAUAAUAAAAUAUAUAAAAAAUUAAACGAUAGUGGUAUAAAUAAUUUGAACAUUAAAAAAGGUUUGCAUGUGACCACAGAUAACACAUUUAUGUCUAAUGGUAAUAUAUGUGAAAAUGAGCUUAAGCAAAAAAAAAACAUGAAUUUUAUAAAUUUUGAUAAUAAUAAUGAUAACGAUAAUGAAUAUAUUAAUGAAUAUGAUGGCAAAGGCGAUAACGAAGGCGAUGAAGAAGGAGAUGAAGAAGGAGAUGAAGAAGGAGAUGAAGAAGGAGAUGAAGAAGGAGAUGAAGACCAUGGACAAAUCUACGAACAAGAUGAUGAAGAAUGUGAUGAAGGAGAUGACGAUGAAGGCGAUGAACAAGAUGACGAUGAAGGUGACGAACAAGAUUAUGACGAAUGUUAUGAAGAAGGUCAUGACAAAGAAGGCAAAGGAGACGAUAGCGUAGACGGUGACGAAGACAAUAAUGACAAAAACAACAAUAAGGACAAGAGUAAGAAAAAUCAUAAUGACAUAAAUAAAUACGGUUAUUACGGCAUUGACAAUGAUAAGACUGCUGAUUAUUAUGAUAAAAAACGUAUUGAUUAUAAUAAUUUAGAUAAAAAUAGAAAGGAUAUAUUUUUAAAAAAGGAAAAAGUAUUGGAUGAUGAUUUAAUAAUUUACCAAAGAGAUAAUUACCAUAAAAAUAGAGCAAUAAAAAAUAUUAAUGAACAAAUUAAUAUAAAACCAUAUGAAAUAAAAAUUAAGAACGAACUCGGUAAUAAAAAAGAUUUUGAUCUAAGUUCAUCAUAUCAUCAUACAAAUAGUAACAAUAAUAAUAAUAAUAAUAAUAAUAAUGAUUAUGAAAAUAUAAAUAAAAUUACCAUAACAAAAAAGGGAGUAAAUAAUUUAAACAAUAGUAAAGGGCCAUGUAACAACACCCAGAUGAAUACUAUAUAUAAUAAAAAAGGUAUGCAAGAAAAAUAUAUUAUUAAUGUCAGCACAGCUAUUGAAAAUAAGCAAGAUGUAAAAAUUGUAAAUAUAAACAAAACGAUAACAAAUAAUACAAAAACACUAGGAAAAAACAGUUAUACUGAUAAAACGUUAAAUACUAGCACUAGUACUAACACUAGUAUUAGCACUAGUACUAAUAGUGUAUCCCGUAACCAUGGGGUAAAUAAAAUCAUAAAUAAAAACCCUGCCAACUUAAAUGUUAGUUCUAAAUUAAAAAAUGAUAAAGGUAUAACUUAUCUUAAAUAUGAAGAGAUAACAGAUUUUCAAUAUGAAAUAAAUAAUGAUAACUUAAAUGAUAUGAUUACAAAAUUAGUUGAAAUUACAAAAGAUCAAGAAUGGACUGAACAAAUAGAUAAUUUAAUUAAUCUUAGAAUUAUUUUAAAAUAUCAUGAAAAAUUAUUUUUUGACAAUUUUAAAAAAGAUUUAAGAAAAAUAUGUAGAGCAAUCAUAGAAUUAGUUAAUAGUGCAAGAUCAAGCGUUUCAAAAAAUGCUUUAUUAUGUUUAUCUGAAUUCUAUUCUAUUGGCAAAAAAAGAAUGGACAGCACGUUAGAUGAUGUUAUUAUGCCUUGUUUAAAAAAAGCGUAUCAAACAUCUAUUGAUUUUUUAAGUAGUUCUGCAAAUAAUACAUUGCUGGCUAUUUGUAAUGCAUGUAGUGAAGCAAAAUUAAUUUCCCAUUUUGUUAAGAUCGCCACGGCAAAACAAAAAACAUAUAAUUUAAUAUGCCUGAAAUGCUUAAUCGCUGUAAUUAUCAAAUUCGAAAGUGGUAUUUCUCAAUAUAAGGAAAUGAAUAAGUUAAUAGAAGCACUAUUGGAGUGUACGUCAUAUGGAAGUGCCGAAAUAAAGUGUACAGCGAGAGUUGCUUUGGUUGUAUUGGACAAUAUAUGCCCAAUCAAACCCUUAGGUAAUAAAUUGCAUAUAUCUGUGGAUAAAAUUAACAAGGUAAGAAGAAAAAACAAAAAUUCAAAUUUUUUAUACACUAGCUAUUUUACUU